UGGGGAAUUUUGGACAAUGGGGGCAACCCUGAUCCAGCAAUGCCGCGUGUGUGAAGAAGGCCUUCGGGUUGUAAAGCACUUUCAGUAGGGAGGAAGGUAGUGUAGUUAACACCUGCAUUAUUUGACGUUACCUACAGAAGAAGCACCGGCUAACUCCGUGCCAGCAGCCGCGGUAAUACGGAGGGUGCGAGCGUUAAUCGGAAUUACUGGGCGUAAAGCGCAUGCAGGCGGCCUGUUAAGUCAGAUGUGAAAGCCCCGGGGCUUAACCUCGGAAUUGCAUUUGAAACUGGCAGGCUAGAGUCUUGUAGAGGGGGUAGAAUUUCAGGUGUAGCGGUGAAAUGCGUAGAGAUCUGAAGGAAUACCAGUGGCGAAGGCGGCCCCCUGGACAAAGACUGACGCUCAGAUGCGAAAGCGUGGGGAGCAAACAGGAUUAGAUACCCUGGUAG
Molecule: ribosomal RNA, 446 nt
Filed under: uncultured bacterium
Lineage: Bacteria
Description: bacterial SSU rRNA
Rfam family: Bacterial small subunit ribosomal RNA
Source: RNAcentral